CAACAGGGAUUGCCUCAGUAACUGCGAGUGAAGCGGCAAAAGCUCAAAUUUGAAAUCUGGCCCGUCUCUGGCGGCCCGAGUUGUAAUUUGGAGGGGCAUUUUCGGAGCGGGCGCCGUCCUAAGUUCCUUGGAACAGGACGUCACAGAGGGUGAGAAUCCCGUGCCUGGAUGGCUGUCCCGCUCCAUGUGAAGUGUCUCCGACGAGUCGAGUUGUUUGGGAAUGCAGCUCAAAAUGGGUGGUAAAUUUCAUCUAAAGCUAAAUAUUGGCGAGAGACCGAUAGCGCACAAGUAGAGUGAUCGAAAGAUGAAAAGCACUUUGAAAAGAGAGUUAAAAAGUACGUGAAAUUGUUGAAAGGGAAGCGCUUGAGACCAGACUCAGCUGCUGGCGAUCAACGGUGCUUCUGUGCCGUGCACUCGCCAGCGGUUGGGCCAGCAUCGGUUCUGGCGGCGGGAAAAAGGCCCGGGCAAUGUGGCUCCUCUCGGGGAGUGUUAUAGGCCCAGGUGUCAUACCGCCAGCCGGGACCGAGGACCGCGCUUCGGCUAGGAUGCUGGCGUAAUGGUCUUAAGCGACCCGUCUUGAAACACGGACCAAGGAGUCUAACAUCUAUGCGAGUGUUCGGGUGGAAAACCCUUGCGCGUAAUGAAAGUGAACGGAGGUGGGAACCCCUCGGGGUGCACCAUCGACCGAUCCCGAUGUCUUCGGAGGGAUUUGAGUAGGAGCAUAGCUGUUGGGACCCGAAAGAUGGUGAACUAUGCCUGAAUAGGGUGAAGCCAGAG
This 777-nucleotide ribosomal RNA is filed under the name Pyropyxis rubra. RNAcentral describes it as "eukaryotic LSU rRNA". It matches the Rfam family "Eukaryotic large subunit ribosomal RNA", at positions 66 to 857 of the family's 3401-position model. The record is from RNAcentral. Lineage: Eukaryota; Fungi; Ascomycota; Pezizomycetes; Pezizales; Pyronemataceae.